GCCGUUGUAGCUCAGGUAGUUAGAGCACAUUCAUGGUAAGAAUGAGGUCGCCAGUGCAAGUCUGGCCAACGGCUCCA
This 77-nucleotide transfer RNA is filed under the name Candidatus Zambryskibacteria bacterium RIFCSPHIGHO2_01_FULL_44_22b. Its description in RNAcentral is "tRNA-Thr". The record is from RNAcentral. Lineage: Bacteria; Candidatus Zambryskiibacteriota. RNAcentral also lists the same sequence under 1 other name.